GGUGCUAACGUCCGUCGUGAAGAGGGAAACAACCCAGACCGCCAGCUAAGGUCCCAAAGUCAUGGUUAAGUGGGAAACGAUGUGGGAAGGCCCAGACAGCCAGGAUGUUGGCUUAGAAGCAGCCAUCAUUUAAAGAAAGCGUAAUAGCUCACUGGUCGAGUCGGCCUGCGCGGAAGAUGUAACGGGGCUAAACCAUGCACCGAAGCUGCGGCAGCGACACUGUGUGUUGUUGGGUAGGGGAGCGUUCUGUAAGCCUGUGAAGGUGUGUCGUGAGGCAUGCUGGAGGUAUCAGAAGUGCGAAUGCUGACAUAAGUAACGAUAAAGCGGGUGAAAAGCCCGCUCGCCGGAAGACCAAGGGUUCCUGUCCAACGUUAAUCGGGGCAGGGUGAGUCGACCCCUAAGGCGAGGCCGAAAGGCGUAGUCGAUGGGAAACGGGUUAAUAUUCCCGUACUUGGUGUUACUGCGAAGGGGGGACGGAGAAGGCUAUGUUGGCCGGGCGACGGUUGUCCCGGUUUAAGCGUGUAGGUGUGUGUUCCAGGUAAAUCCGGUUCACUUUAACACUGAGGCGUGACGACGAGGCACUACGGUGCUGAAGCAACAAAUGCCCUGCUUCCAGGAAAAGCCUCUAAGCAUCAGGUAACAUCAAAUCGUACCCCAAACCGACACAGGUGGUCAGGUAGAGAAUACCAAGGCGCUUGAGAGAACUCGGGUGAAGGAACUAGGCAAAAUGGUGCCGUAACUUCGGGAGAAGGCACGCUGACACGUAGGUGAAGUGAUUUACUCAUGGAGCUGAAGUCAGUCGAAGAUACCAGCUGGCUGCAACUGUUUAUUAAAAACACAGCACUGUGCAAACACGAAAGUGGACGUAUACGGUGUGACGCC
This 882-nucleotide ribosomal RNA is filed under the name Salmonella enterica subsp. enterica serovar Stanley. RNAcentral describes it as "partial 23S ribosomal RNA". It matches the Rfam family "Bacterial large subunit ribosomal RNA", at positions 994 to 1859 of the family's 2925-position model. Lineage: Bacteria; Pseudomonadati; Pseudomonadota; Gammaproteobacteria; Enterobacterales; Enterobacteriaceae. The record is from RNAcentral.